Molecule: long non-coding RNA, 4683 nt
Organism: Grus americana (Whooping crane)
Lineage: Eukaryota; Metazoa; Chordata; Aves; Gruiformes; Gruidae
Exons: 2
Source: RefSeq, a predicted model, not a curated record
UUUGGCCCUCCAAACCCAGCCUUGCAAGAUGGAGUGGCAGGAAGGGGGGACUUCCCCUUGAUCUGUGCUGUUCCCUUUCGGUUCCAGAGCUUCCAUCAGGACCCAGAGUGGGAAGGGAGACUAAGGAUAUCUGAAAAUCUUCACUGUAAACAAGGCCAAUUAUACACACACCAAUUACCUCAGUGUAAACAACCAAUCACACUAUAAUAGGGAGAACCUUUUGAGCCUGAGGAGAGGGCUUUGAAGUGCCUCUGCUCAGAGAUUGCCUAUUAAUGCAGGGGAUUGCACCAGCAGCACUAUUGGCUCUGUGAGUAGAGUGACAAUGACAAUGGAGCUAGGUGGAUUGGGAGUUGCAUGCCCUGAUACAACAAUACAGUAGUUAAAAUUCCAACAGCGAUGGAGCAGUAACCAGUGGCAACCUAGCUGUAGGCUUGGCUGUAUCAGUGUGAAGGAAUGGGAAUUUUUUGUUACAUAUAUGUGUAGUCAUUUCUUCUAUGGCCAGGAAACUGCUUGACCUGCACUUUGCUGACUGGUCACAUUCCCAGUAAGUUUGCAGCCUCCACUGACUUUAGGUCUCUCUAAGCCCCAACUGUCAUCUUCUCCUUCAAAGCACUACACUGCUCGUUCAGAAGCCCUGAUCUUGCUGUGGAUGGAAUCCACUGAGAAUCUCCCUAAUUUUGUGAGCUGUGUAUCAGGCCCUAUAGGGUUGAAUGUGGUCUGUUUGCAGGUGAAUGCUGUUCCCUGCGUAAUGCCGAGGGCUGCAGCAGGUUCCCCAGUCCUCUCCACUUCUAGAAGAGGAAUCAAACACAAUGAUUUCUUCACAGGGUCUUGUCCCCGUGCCACCUCCUCUCCUAAAGUUCCCUUAACAUUCAUUAUGUACAGCCCCUGUUCAGUCUGGGAUUGACGUGCUGGUUUUGCCCUCGUACGUUCAGCAGACCUGCGUCAUCUACCUCUAGAUGUGACAUAUUGGUGCAAUAAGGGCAGGCAUUUCAUCUGUAUGUGCAGAAGUUAAUUCCAGUUUUUUAGCAGUACCUACAUGAUUUCUCGCAUUUUCUGUGAAAGAAUACAAGACAUACCCAGGUUAACAUAAAUGUGUCUUAACUCUCAGCAGGGAGAGGAUUAUGUCAAUUUAGGCUAAUAGCUGCCAAAUAGCAGACACACAGAUACUCUUAAAUUGGUUUAAUUUAUGUGUCUGCUGGCCCUGACAAUUGGAAGAAAAGAUAAAUACACACAAAGCGUUCAAAGCUUGGGGCGUUGUGAUGCUAAUUGAAAAGUCACCAAAGGAAGCCUGCAUGGUGUGUGGGAAUCUUAGCGCAUGAGAUUAGUGGCUAAUUAGUGGCUGGGAGCUGGAGUGCACUCCUCUCACCGUGAGAGCAGACAGCUUGGCCCAUGCAAUCAAUUCUCACCCCUGAUACCAGCAAUGAAACACCUAUUGUGGGCAACAGACAGCAUGGUGAUGGGAAGACACAAAUAGUGCCAGCACUAUAGUAGGCUCUCGUAACAUGCACAGAAAGCAGUGUCAGAGAGGUCUAGGUAGCUUGCUGUGUCCUGAGCCACGGCAAAUAUACAGGCAUUUGAGAACUGACUUGUUUUUUUCUUUUUAACAGAUGCACAAAUCUCUUUAUCUUACUUUCUGCCUCUUUCAUGCCAUGUUUGCAGCAGAUGACAGAACAUGCUCCAGAGGCCCUGAGCUUCAAACUCUGCUUUAGACUCUGAAGUGAAUGCAUACAGGUUAUCAUCUCUGACAGCUGGGAGACUCGACAUGACACCUAAGGUGAAGCUAUGAUGAGACUAAAUCAUGUUAUUGAAUCAGAAGUGUCAUCCGAUUGUAUCACACACGGUGAGAAUGUGUAGGUACCAGAGUCCUUGCCUCGAAACACUUACAGUCAAAGCCAGAGAACUUGUAACAAGGAGGGUCAUAGUGAAGUAGGGACAUCCAAGUGCAAGGUCCUGCACCUGGGUCAGGGCAAGCCCCAGUAUCAAUACAGGCUGGGGGAUGAAGGGCUUGAGAGCAGCCCUGAGGAGAAGGAAUUGGGGGUACCAGUGGAUGAAAAGCUGUCAUGACCCAGCAAUGUGCACUCACAGCCCGAAAAGCCAACUGUGUCCUGGGCUGCAUCAAAAGAAGUGUGACCAGCAGGUCGAGGGAGGUGAUCCUGCCCCUCUACUCCGCUCUGGUGAGACCCCACCUGGAGUACUGCGUCCAGCUCUGGGGCCCCCAGUACAGGAGAGACAUGGAGCUGUUGGAGAGAGUCCAGGGGAGGUCACAAAGCUGAUCAGAGGGCUGGAGCAUCUCUCCUAUGAGGACAGGCUGAGAGAGUUGGGGUUGUUCAGCCUGGAGAAGAGAAGACUCUGGGGAGAUCUAAUUGUGGCUUACCAGUACCUGAAGGGAGCCUACAGGAAAGCUGGAGAGGGACUGUUUAUCAGGGAGUGGAGUGACAGGACAAGGGGGAAUGGCUUUAAGCUGAAAGAUGGUAGAUUUAGACUAAAAAAGAAAUUUUUUACAAUGAGGGUGGUGAGGCACUGGCACAGGUUGCCCAGAGAGGUGGUAGGUGCCCCAUCCCUGGACACAUUCAAGGUCAGGUUGGAUGGGGCUUUGGGCAACCUGAUCUAGUUGAAAAUGUCCCUGCUUAUUGUAGGGGGGUUAGACUAGAUGACCUUAAAGGUCCGCUCCUACCCAAAUGAUUCUAUGAUCUGUGCUAUUUUGAAUGUUCUGAUUUAUAGCUGUAUUUGUGCAAUAAAGCCCAUUUUUUAUUUUAGUGCAUUUUGAUGUAGAAGCCUAUGAAAUCUUACAGAUGUUACAGUAAGAGCAGGCUGCCUUUCUGUGUAUGCUUCUGUGAGGGAAUGUCUUUUCUGUGCAAUUAGCUGGGAGGAUUGAGCUUUAUAAUGGAGCAGUUUGGUCUGAGCCGCUUUCCCUCGCUGGCCUGUUCAGAAAGUGCUAAGCAGGGCAAAGCCACCCAUCUCUACAGCCUUACAGGAUGUCUGUAACAAGCUGGUGCCUAUGGCUGUGUGCAGAGACCCUCCUGCUCUGCAGGAGCUGAUCCUGUUACGCUCCACAGAGCAAGUCUGAACCUGGCGAAAUGAACAGGAAAUGCCAGUUCCAGCCCUCCCAGAUGGCUCCGGGCUGCUUUGUACACUAACUUUUUCAGCCUCCGGAGGUUUUGCAUAUUAAUUCCUCACCAUCCAUAAACUGCUUUUGGAUCAGCGCUGCGCUGCCGAGAUCUUGGAAAGCCACCGCACUCGUGUGAUUCUGGAGACAUUGGCUACGCCGUGUUUAUUGGGCUGCCUGCUCUGCUCUCCUGGUUUGGUAAUCCUCUGCUCUCCUGCAGGUAUUAACACGUACAAGAAAGCUUCAUCACAAUAAACAAUAGCCAAACAUGCCACUUCUUUUUCCGUCUGUCAAAGAUACCAUCAUACUUUUAAGUCGGUCCCAGCGAAAAUCAUCAGUGGGGCUGCAGAAAGGUCAAAGGUUUGCUGGUUUAGGAUUUCGUGGGAAUAUAUGCUUGUUUGGACUUGGCCCAAGAGCUUCGUUUACCUGUUUGACAGGUAACAAUUAGUGAGUAAUAGCUCUGCCGGCUGGAAUGCGGCUGCGAGGGCCAGCGGGCGCUGGGUUACCUGGUGGGCAGGUGUGGGUGCAGCGCCCAGAUAGGUAUGUGCAUGCACAGCAUUCCUGGGAAUCAGUUUUCCCUUAAAGAUGCAGCGAUGACUGCAGGGCACAAAAAGGCUGGGCUUAGCCCAGGCUCGAAGAUGUUAAGCUGUUUGCAAGGUAAAGAAGUAAAGUAAAUAGUAGAAGAGAAGAGGAGCUGAGGAAAGGGUUGUGAGAAGCAGUUGCCCCUUUUUUGCCUUGCCUAGGGAGAAGAGAGUUUUGAUUCUUCCCUGAGAAUCUCAGUAAUGCAGAAUUCAGUGCAAACACAGUGUCAGGGAAGAUAAAAAAGAAGAGAAAUGCUGAGAUAGGGUAGAACUGAUUUGAGAAGUGCGCGUCUGUCUAAAAGUUAGGCGGACAGGUGGCCAGCAUGGCUCAGGACCGGUCCGUAAGGAUUUCGUGCGCAUUGCUCCCCAGCGGCAGCCCAGCAUAGGCGCAGCAGUGCACCACAGAGCUGAGAAGCUCAUUGGCAUGGUAUAAAUGUGAAGCAGGGAAACCCUCUGUCAAUUGGUUUAGAAAUGGUUAAACAGCUUAUGUGCAGUUACGCUCAAAUCUGCCAUUAGCAAGAAUCCAAACCUCAUGAGUUUAUCGAAUAAAACCGCUUUAUCUGUGGCAAACGGUCCCAUUUCCAGCUCCUGCAGCAGUUGGGGAAGAUUCCUGCAUCAGCCCCUCCCUACAGUCGAGUCCCUGGAGGGAAUCUGGUAUAAAUUAUGUAGACAGUCAGGGACUUCACAGGUGUUUUUAGGAUGUUUGAUUUUUUUUUUACCACAGCAGGUGACCCUUCUGUUUUAGGAAAGGAAAGGAUUGCUCAUUCUUUUCAUAUUUUAUUCCUAUUUGUGAACAGGCUUCUGGGUUUGUGUAUAUCCACUUAGGUGUUUCACACUUGACAAUUGAGCUAUUGUGUGACUUUGGAGAAGCCACAUCCUCUUUCCUGGUCUCUCGAUUUUCACCUGCAGAGUUGGAGUAGUGAGUCUUGUGUUAUUAACCAUGAGAGACACAGAUGAUAAUUACUGCUAGUUUUAAACACAUAUGCUAUUAUAGAU